This 301-nucleotide ribosomal RNA is filed under the name uncultured bacterium. RNAcentral describes it as "partial 16S ribosomal RNA". It matches the Rfam family "Bacterial small subunit ribosomal RNA", at positions 509 to 809 of the family's 1533-position model. The record is from RNAcentral.
CAGUAGCCGCGGUAAUACGUAGGUGGCAAGCGUUGUCCGGAAUUAUUGGGCGUAAAGGGCUCGCAGGCGGUUUCUUAAGUCUGAUGUGAAAGCCCCCGGCUCAACCGGGGAGGGUCAUUGGAAACUGGGAAACUUGAGUGCAGAAGAGGAGAGUGGAAUUCCACGUGUAGCGGUGAAAUGCGUAGAGACGUGGAGGAACACCAGUGGCGAAGGCGACUCUCUGGUCUGUAACUGACGCUGAGGAGCGAAAGCGUGGGGAGCGAACAGGAUUAGAUACCCCCGUAGUCCCUGUCUCUUAUAA